ACUCGGUUUGCCGGCUCAGAAGUCCAUCACCUCCAUCUUAAACGGUUUACCCUGAAGCUUGUUCGAGACGAUCUUCGUGAUCGGUGGCGCGCUGUUGUUGUCGUCGUCGCUGUUUAUAUCCUCGUCCUCCUCCGGGAAGUCCUCGAGCCUGUCGUGGUACUCGUCCAGCUAGAAAAACCAUACGAUCGAUUAACCCUGAACGGAACUUCACCCUUUUGUUUCAGACCGAUCGAUCCGUGGAAAAGAACAAACUCAGCUACAAAAGUCUAGGGCGUGAGAUCGUUUCGUAACGAGGCCGAGCUAGCGUUUAGCCAUGUGAGAGAACAAUACAGCGCGGUGCCGGCGAGAACUUGAGAAGCUGUGACACCAGGCUGCGCCGAGACCGUCGUCCCCUGCGAAACGCUGAAGCUCUCUUCUACGUGCGAACGAGAGUGCGAAGCGCGCACACAGAAGCUACAGGCAUUCCGUAAUACGUAGUAUGUUCUACGGACUCACGUGUGUAGGGUAGCUACGGAAGAAGCGAUUUAAUCGACGUUACCGCACACCGAUCGGACGGUUACCUAUAACUGCGGGUACGUCCAACGUGAAUCACCUCUGUGCUCCUCCGUGCCGAAAAGACGCGCCCCGAGCACUCCUUGUUGCUGCCCACCAAUGCACCAGGUGCUCGGCAAGGGGACCGUUCCGUGAAAAGACCUCGAAGCGUCCGUACCAACGGCAGAGAGCCCGGAUCCCCUCGUCGACCACCCGAAUUAGCGCCGCAGACCAUUCGUGAACUCGCGGUGCAUCCAUUCGACCGAGUCGUUUACCAUGAUCGCUACUCUAAGCUAGCUGAUGAGCGUGCUUCGUGUGUGUCCUUCGAUAGCUUGCGCCGAAGAAGAACUUGCUCGGCAAUCGCGAUAGAACCGCGGCCGAACAUUGUGUUUGGUUCUAUCGCCAUUGCCGAACGUGUGUGUCGAUCGGUGAUGGCAGUGUUUGUGGAUCGUGGAGAAGACAAGGAUUUCUUUAGUGGAGACACAGAAGCCGUGGAACAUGGGGAAAGGAAGCAGAAAUACAUCGUCAACCCUCCGAUAGCCGUGCCGAGUUGAUUCUUGAGUUCUGAAGGAUCUCUGCCAUCCGAGGGUUGAAAAGGCAACGAUAACACAGCAAGGAAAUGAAUCGGUAUUCCUAAUCGAUUAUUUCCUCGGUCUCGUUGUCUCGCGAUAUCGACACAACCAUGUUAAAAUACAGCAAUUUCCGCUCGAGGUCGCAGCUAGAUAAAGUCUACACGAAUAUGAAUAAUAUGUUUAAAAAACGACUGGACAACGUGAUGAAUAUAUUUAAAAAACAUUCCGAGGAUUACUGUUCGCCGAGUCAUGUCGAGCGUCGCUAAUUGGCCGCGUCCAUCAAGCGGAAAUUAUCGUGUAUCCAAUGAGAGGAUUGCAUGAUCGAUGUUGGUGAAGCGAAAACGGAGCGAAGGUGGUUUCUUUUUGGCUCGACUCACAUCGACGUCGCCCAUCAUUUCCUUGGUAGAGACCGUAGUGUCGAUGCGUCGUAUGCUGCCCUGAUGGAUAUCUACGUCGAGCUUGACGCAUUGGAACCGCCUCAGGAGAAAGACUAUCGGUAUUGGCGCGACGCUCACUAAUAUAAUCACCGCCGCGAUGGCCAGCACCCAGCUGGGAU
Megalopta genalis is the source of this 1659-nucleotide non-coding RNA. The record is from RefSeq and is a predicted model, not a curated record. NCBI's taxonomy places the organism in Eukaryota, Metazoa, Arthropoda, Insecta, Hymenoptera, Halictidae.